UGCUCGUGGGACGGGCCCUUUAGGGAGAGGGAGAGAGAGAGAGAGGGGGCGGCGGCAUUUCUUCUGUAAAUAGUUCUUGUUGCAUUGCCGAACAACAAACUCACCUUGUUUUUUUUACUUUACAUCUCGUAGUGUCCUGACAUUAUUUCCCCCAUCGGUCCGUUGUACUAUAUGUCCAUCGACCUGGCGCCAACAACAUUAAGACGGAAAAGGAAAAAAAAAAAAAGAACAUAUAUGUAUUUUUUAAAGUCGUUCCUGCAUCACUUUCGUUUCCGUUUUUUCAUGUUUCUGUUUUUUGACGUUUGCACUGACCAAUUUUUUUUGUUUUAGGGAUAAGCACAAAAAAACCUUCCCAGCUCCUGAGAAAACGAGGGAAAGCGUGGGAAAUUACGUUGAAUGGGAGAGAGAUUUUAGCUCGCCCGCGUGUGGGCGUGCGUGUGCGUGGACACGAGGCCUGGCGUACUGGCGGGCUCGUGUGCAUGGGUCAUGCAUGUGCUGUGUGUGUGUGUGUGUGUGUGUGUGGGUCUGCAUGUAGGGGGCUAAGGCUUCUGUGCCUCUUUAGGAUGGCAUCUGCAACGCAGUCACCUCUGAGCACCACAGAGGUAUCGAUCGAGGUGUGUCUGGCCCUGUACACAGGAGGCCUCUCCCCUCACCCCUGAGAGAGGGUUCCAAGCCAAGCCCGGCCUGGGCAAGCACGCGAUUGUCGUUCAGCCACAGAAGCCCCCUGCCCCCCCAAAGACCCCCCCCCCUCCCCCCCCCCCCCACCUCAUAAUUAUUUAAAACAGUUUUCUUCUUUUUAAUAGAGAAUAAAAAAGGCAUCCUACUCGCCCGUCCCACCUAACCCUGACCACACACCCCCCACCCCCCCACUUUAAAUCCGUAAAGGAUAUCACCUUGAGUUCUGAAGUGGCAAGCUUCCAAUAUCGCAACCGCUGAACAAGAAGAGGGUCAAAGGAUGCUUGAUGUCAUAUAUAGUCUAAAACAUUAAUCUUAUGGCAAGGUCUGGAGCCUUGUUUACGCUGUUAAUGGUGAAAUAAAGUGUGUGUCAGUAUUAAGGGAAGUUGUCCAUGAGUCUAUAGUAUAUUGAUUAAAACAUUGAUGUUUUUAUGCUA
Amblyraja radiata (thorny skate) is the source of this 1112-nucleotide long non-coding RNA. RefSeq lists it as uncharacterized. The record is from RefSeq and is a predicted model, not a curated record. NCBI's taxonomy places the organism in Eukaryota, Metazoa, Chordata, Chondrichthyes, Rajiformes, Rajidae. The transcript has 2 exons.